RNAcentral lists this unclassified non-coding RNA (299 nucleotides) under uncultured fungus. Its description in RNAcentral is "sequence contains ITS1". The stretch from base 1 to 105 matches the Rfam family "5.8S ribosomal RNA", at positions 50 to 154 of the family's 154-position model. The record is from RNAcentral. Lineage: Eukaryota; Fungi.
GAAAUGCGAUAAGUAAUGUGAAUUGCAGAAUUCAGUGAAUCAUCGAAUCUUUGAACGCACAUUGCGCUCCCGGGCAUUCCCGGGAGCAUGCCUGUUCGAGCUUCAUUUCAACCCUCAAGCCCGGCUUGUCAGUUGGGCCUGCCCCUCACCGGGCAGGUCUGAAAGGAAGUGACGGCGUCGCGCCCGACCCUCAGCGAAACAAAGAUUCGUCUAUCGCUCGGGGGGCGGCCGGUGCCUGUCUGACCACAAAAUUUUCUCAGGUUGAACUCGGAUCAGGUAGGGAUACCCGCUGAACUUAA